UAUUACUUUGUGUCUCUUAGUCAACCUGAUCUGGUCUAUGUUCGUGGGGAGGGCUUCAUGGGCAUGUCCACACCAGUGUCCACACCAGUGUCCACACCAGUGUCCACCCCAUGCCAACUCCCCCCCCCGCACUCGCCCAUGCUCGUCGCACAGACCAAAGCAGGCACUCCCGCACCCACUCCCUCAUAUCGAGGGGCACCAUCCAGCACCCCUCCCCCACUAAUGAUCCUUCCGCAGGUUCACCUACGGAAA
This 252-nucleotide unclassified non-coding RNA is filed under the name uncultured fungus. Its description in RNAcentral is "sequence contains ITS1". The record is from RNAcentral. Lineage: Eukaryota; Fungi.